Long non-coding RNA from Oncorhynchus nerka (sockeye salmon), 2318 nucleotides. RefSeq lists it as uncharacterized. Lineage: Eukaryota; Metazoa; Chordata; Actinopteri; Salmoniformes; Salmonidae. The transcript is spliced from 4 exons. The record is from RefSeq and is a predicted model, not a curated record.
CCUGCAGCCUGGUGUACAAUGGGCUCAUCAUGAAUGCCAGUGAGGACGAUGGGAACCGCUACUUCAGUGUUGCCAUGUAUGGAUUGGUGGAGCUCCCAGCCUACCCUCUCUGUAUCUAUUUCAUAAACAAGCAGUGGAAAGCUGUUGGUCAGUGCGUCAGUGUGCGUCUACACUACUGAACUGUAACCCACUGUUAUAAGGAACGCUGGUCUUGGGGUCUGCUCAAUGUCCUGCUGAGUCGGAGGGAUCCUGGACCUUUUUUGCCCUCUACGACACUUUGUUUGAAGAGGACCAAUUGAAAACGAGCCACAAACUAAAUCAGUGACUAUGAACGAGAAAACAAUCUGACAAGAGGGACUAUCGAAGCCUGUUCACACACGAGUGCUUUCUCACAUCAAAUCAGAUGUCCUCUUGUUUCCAUGGUGAAGCAAGGACAGGGCUAGCUACAUGCCCGUGAUGGAUGGUGGACCAUUUUACAGGGAACAGCACACAUGUUUUGAAUCUUUUCAUGUUAUUUUGUUUCUGUGUGGGGGUUGUGUGAUACGUUUUGUACUGUACAAUGAAAUGUGAAGUGCCUUCUAAAAUUGCUGUUUAGCAAUGUAGAUAAUGUCAAAUGGGAUUAUAAAGCAACAAUUAAUCAUGUGAUAUCAAAUGGAAGAGAAUUACAAUUACUGUCAAAGGUUCUCCGUUUCUAACAAUUUGAAGCCUGUAGUUUAAAUGGUUUGUUUCAUAAUGUUGGGUGAUUAGGCCUGGCUCGCAGUCAGAGUUUCAAUUCAUCCCAAAGGUGUUCGAUGGGGUUGAAGUCAGGGCUCUGUGCAGGUCAGUCAAGUUCUUCCACACCGAUCGCGACAAACCAUUUCAGUAUGGACCUCGCUUUGUGCACAGGGGGCAUUGUCAUGCUGGAGCAGGAAAAGGCCUUCCCCAAACUGUUGCCACAAAGUUGGAAGCACAGAAUUGUCUAGAAUGUGAUUGUAUGCUGUAGCUGCUGCUAUUUGCAUUGAGAAUACAGAUUAUGUAGUAAGUGUGUAUAUAUAUAUAUAUUCACACAGGCAGCCCAAUUCUGGUCUUUUGAACAAUCACAUCAGAUCUUUUUCAGAGCUGAUCUGAUUGGUCAAAACACCAAUUAGUGGGGAAAAAUAUUGGAAUUGGGCUGCCUGUCUAAACACAGCGAAAAUGUGAAUGGUUUGUGCAGUAUUCUAAUUCCCCCCCUCCCCCAAGUCAUUGGUUUACAUUGUGCUCCAAGGUGAUGCCAGAGCUAUAAUUGUGAUUGUUAACAUGACAGCAAGUAGUACAGUGGUGUGUAAUACGGGUAACUGCCAAAAUAUAGGGAACACCAACAUAAAGUGUCUUCAUGGGACAUGGGCCACCAAGAGCCAGAACAUCUUCAAAACACCAGUACAGGUGUCUGGAACUCAAUUGGAGGGAUGCGACAUCGUUCUUCCAUGAGAAAUUCUAUCAUUUAGUGUUUUGUUAAUGAUGGUGGAAAACGCUGUCUCAGGUGCCGCUCCAGAAUCUCCCAUUGGGAUGGUUUCUGGUUUACAUCGUUUUCAUGCUCAUCUGACCACUCGCGCCCUGUGGAUGGGGUCAUUGCCAUCCUAUUGGGGCCUAGCCAUGGUAGCCAAAAUAAUGGCCUGCCCAGCGUUUACAGUACAUGACCCUAAGCAUGAGGGGAUGUUAAUUGGUUAAUUAACCACACUUGUGUGGAAGCACCUGCUUUCUAUAUACUUUGUAUCCUUCAUGUACUCGUGUUUCCAUUCAUUUGGAAGUUACCUAUAUAUUUAUGAGAAUGACUUGAACAUGAUCAUAAAUUACACCAACCUGCACAGUGUUUAUGCCCUUCAAAAUUACGCGGUGAAACUUCUCUUCUAUUAAAGCAAAAUGUGUUACACUGUAACAGGGUGUAUUGUAAUGUUAAUGGUCACUAAUGUAUUAUUUUUUUAUUUUGAGGGGGGGGGGCAUUGUAAUGUUUUAUAGCUAUAUAAAUGAUGCUGAAUAAAAGUGAAAUAUUGAUACCAGAGGGCGCUCUAGUAACAGUCACUGCUAUUGUCAGGGGUUUGUGUCACCAUUGACGCAGACAGGAGAGGCCCAGUUCAACCAUAUCGCCCAGAAGCUGUCUCAUCAAAGACUGAGAAGUAACCGCAUAAUGCUUUUCCCCAUCAUUUAUAAUUAUGCCUUAUGGCAGAGUUGGCCCAUACCACCGGUUCAACAAGUAGUUGGAGCGAGUUGAAGAGUUUAAACUGUAAUCAUUGUUUUCAUUAUAUACCUCUGACACUGUGCUUGCCAGCACAGAAAUCCCCUUUUGAAGUAAAUAAACAGUC